Molecule: unclassified non-coding RNA, 338 nt
Filed under: soil metagenome
Description: partial contains 5.8S ribosomal RNA, internal transcribed spacer 2, and large subunit ribosomal RNA
Rfam family: 5.8S ribosomal RNA (bases 1-120)
Source: RNAcentral
GAUGAAGAACGUAGCGAAAUGCGAUAAGUAAUGUGAAUUGCAGAAUUCAGUGAAUCAUCGAAUCUUUGAACGCACAUUGCGCCCUCUGGUAUUCCGGAGGGCAUGCCUGUUCGAGCGUCAUUUCGACCCUCAAGCAUUGCUUGGUGUUGGGGCACCGCCUGUAAAAGGGCGGGCCCUGAAAUCUAGUGGCGAGCUCGCCAGGACCCCGAGCGUAGUAAUUAUAUUUCGUUCUGGAAGGCCCUGGCGGUGUCCUGCCGUUAAACCCCCAACUUCUGAAAAUUUGACCUCGGAUCAGGUAGGAAUACCCGCUGAACUUAAGCAUAUCAAUAAGCGGAGGA